This 908-nucleotide ribosomal RNA is filed under the name Pseudomonas sp. enrichment culture clone Z-1. RNAcentral describes it as "bacterial SSU rRNA". It matches the Rfam family "Bacterial small subunit ribosomal RNA", at positions 47 to 950 of the family's 1533-position model. Lineage: Bacteria; Pseudomonadati; Pseudomonadota; Gammaproteobacteria; Pseudomonadales; Pseudomonadaceae. The record is from RNAcentral.
CCUAACACAUGCAAGUCGAGCGGAUGAAGGGAGCUUGCUCCUGGAUUCAGCGGCGGACGGGUGAGUAAUGCCUAGGAAUCUGCCUGGUAGUGGGGGAUAACGUCCGGAAACGGGCGCUAAUACCGCAUACGUCCUGAGGGAGAAAGUGGGGGAUCUUCGGACCUCACGCUAUCAGAUGAGCCUAGGUCGGAUUAGCUAGUUGGUGGGGUAAAGGCCUACCAAGGCGACGAUCCGUAACUGGUCUGAGAGGAUGAUCAGUCACACUGGAACUGAGACACGGUCCAGACUCCUACGGGAGGCAGCAGUGGGGAAUAUUGGACAAUGGGCGAAAGCCUGAUCCAGCCAUGCCGCGUGUGUGAAGAAGGUCUUCGGAUUGUAAAGCACUUUAAGUUGGGAGGAAGGGCAGUAAGUUAAUACCUUGCUGUUUUGACGUUACCAACAGAAUAAGCACCGGCUAACUUCGUGCCAGCAGCCGCGGUAAUACGAAGGGUGCAAGCGUUAAUCGGAAUUACUGGGCGUAAAGCGCGCGUAGGUGGUUCAGCAAGUUGGAUGUGAAAUCCCCGGGCUCAACCUGGGAACUGCAUCCAAAACUACUGAGCUAGAGUACGGUAGAGGGUGGUGGAAUUUCCUGUGUAGCGGUGAAAUGCUGAGAUAUAGUAAGGAACACCAAGUGGAGAAGGCGACCACCUGGACUGAUACUGACACUGAGGUGCGAAAGCGUGGGGAGCAAACAGGAUUAUAUACUCUGGUAGUCCACGCCGUAAACGAUGUCUACUAACCGUUGGGAUCCUUGAGAUCUAUUGGCUCACUAACGCGAUAAUUCGACCGCCUGGGUGAGACAGGCGCAAGGUAAAACUCACAGGAAUUGACCGGCGGCCCGCACAAGCCGGUGAACUAGGAGGUUUAAU